AGAGUUUGAUCCUGGCUCAGGAUGAACGCUAGCUACAGGCUUAACACAUGCAAGUCGAGGGGCAGCAUGGUCUUAGCUUGCUAAGGCCGAUGGCGACCGGCGCACGGGUGAGUAACACGUAUCCAACCUGCCGUCUACUCUUGGACAGCCUUCUGAAAGGAAGAUUAAUACAAGAUGGCAUCAUGAGUCCGCAUGUUCACAUGAUUAAAGGUAUUCCGGUAGACGAUGGGGAUGCGUUCCAUUAGAUAGUAGGCGGGGUAACGGCCCACCUAGUCUUCGAUGGAUAGGGGUUCUGAGAGGAAGGUCCCCCACAUUGGAACUGAGACACGGUCCAAACUCCUACGGGAGGCAGCAGUGAGGAAUAUUGGUCAAUGGGCGAGAGCCUGAACCAGCCAAGUAGCGUGAAGGAUGACUGCCCUAUGGGUUGUAAACUUCUUUUAUAAAGGAAUAAAGUCGGGUAUGCAUACCCGUUUGCAUGUACUUUAUGAAUAAGGAUCGGCUAACUCCGUGCCAGCAGCCGCGGUAAUACGGAGGAUCCGAGCGUUAUCCGGAUUUAUUGGGUUUAAAGGGAGCGUAGAUGGAUGUUUAAGUCAGUUGUGAAAGUUUGCGGCUCAACCGUAAAAUUGCAGUUGAUACUGGAUAUCUUGAGUGCAGUUGAGGCAGGCGGAAUUCGUGGUGUAGCGGUGAAAUGCUUAGAUAUCACGAAGAACUCCGAUUGCGAAGGCAGCCUGCUAAGCUGCAACUGACAUUGAGGCUCGAAAGUGUGGGUAUCAAACAGGAUUAGAUACCCUGGUAGUCCACACGGUAAACGAUGAAUACUCGCUGUUUGCGAUAUACGGCAAGCGGCCAAGCGAAAGCGUUAAGUAUUCCACCUGGGGAGUACGCCGGCAACGGUGAAACUCAAAGGAAUUGACGGGGGCCCGCACAAGCGGAGGAACAUGUGGUUUAAUUCGAUGAUACGCGAGGAACCUUACCCGGGCUUAAAUUGCAGAUGAAUUACGGUGAAAGCCGUAAGCCGCAAGGCAUCUGUGAAGGUGCUGCAUGGUUGUCGUCAGCUCGUGCCGUGAGGUGUCGGCUUAAGUGCCAUAACGAGCGCAACCCUUGUUGUCAGUUACUAACAGGUUCUGCUGAGGACUCUGACAAGACUGCCAUCGUAAGAUGUGAGGAAGGUGGGGAUGACGUCAAAUCAGCACGGCCCUUACGUCCGGGGCUACACACGUGUUACAAUGGGGGGUACAGAGGGCCGCUACCACGCGAGUGGAUGCCAAUCCCCAAAACCUCUCUCAGUUCGGACUGGAGUCUGCAACCCGACUCCACGAAGCUGGAUUCGCUAGUAAUCGCGCAUCAGCCACGGCGCGGUGAAUACGUUCCCGGGCCUUGUACACACCGCCCGUCAAGCCAUGGGAGCCGGGGGUACCUGAAGUGCGUAACCGCGAGGAGCGCCCUAGGGUAAAACUGGUGACUGGGGCUAAGUCGUAACAAGGUAGCCGUACCGGAAGGUGCGGCUG
This 1508-nucleotide ribosomal RNA is filed under the name Phocaeicola vulgatus. RNAcentral's name for it is "bacterial SSU rRNA". It matches the Rfam family "Bacterial small subunit ribosomal RNA". The record is from RNAcentral. Lineage: Bacteria; Pseudomonadati; Bacteroidota; Bacteroidia; Bacteroidales; Bacteroidaceae.